GGGACACGUGGUAUCCUGUCUGAAUAUGGGGGGACCAUCCUCCAAGGCUAAAUACUCCUGACUGACCGAUAGUGAACCAGUACCGUGAGGGAAAGGCGAAAAGAACCCCGGCGAGGGGAGUGAAAAAGAACCUGAAACCGUGUACGUACAAGCAGUGGGAGCACGCUUAGGCGUGUGACUGCGUACCUUUUGUAUAAUGGGUCAGCGACUUAUAUUCUGUAGCAAGGUUAACCGAAUAGGGGAGCCGAAGGGAAACCGAGUCUUAACUGGGCGUUAAGUUGCAGGGUAUAGACCCGAAACCCGGUGAUCUAGCCAUGGGCAGGUUGAAGGUUGGGUAACACUAACUGGAGGACCGAACCGACUAAUGUUGAAAAAUUAGCGGAUGACUUGUGGCUGGGGGUGAAAGGCCAAUCAAACCGGGAGAUAGCUGGUUCUCCCCGAAAGCUAUUUAGGUAGCGCCUCGUGAAUUCAUCUCCGGGGGUAGAGCACUGUUUCGGCAAGGGGGUCAUCCCGACUUACCAACCCGAUGCAAACUGCGAAUACCGGAGAAUGUUAUCACGGGAGACACACGGCGGGUGCUAACGUCCGUCGUGAAGAGGGAAACAACCCAGACCGCCAGCUAAGGUCCCAAAGUCAUGGUUAAGUGGGAAACGAUGUGGGAAGGCCCAGACAGCCAGGAUGUUGGCUUAGAAGCAGCCAUCAUUUAAAGAAAGCGUAAUAGCUCACUGGUCGAGUCGGCCUGCGCGGAAGAUGUAACGGGGCUAAACCAUGCACCGAAGCUGCGGCAGCGACGCUGAUGCGUUGUUGGGUAGGGGAGCGUUCUGUAAGCCUGCGAAGGUGUGCUGUGAGGCAUGCUGGAGGUAUCAGAAGUGCGAAUGCUGACAUAAGUAACGAUAAAGCGGGUGAAAAGCCCGCUCGCCGGAAGACCAAGGGUUCCUGUCCAACGUUAAUCGGGGCAGGGUGAGUCGACCCCUAAGGCGAGGCCGAAAGGCGUAGUCGAUGGGAAACAGGUUAAUAUUCCUGUACUUGGUGUUACUGCGAAGGGGGGACGGAGAAGGCUAUGUUGGCCGGGCGACGGUUGUCCCGGUU
RNAcentral lists this ribosomal RNA (1089 nucleotides) under Escherichia coli. RNAcentral describes it as "partial 23S ribosomal RNA". It matches the Rfam family "Bacterial large subunit ribosomal RNA", at positions 419 to 1512 of the family's 2925-position model. Lineage: Bacteria; Pseudomonadati; Pseudomonadota; Gammaproteobacteria; Enterobacterales; Enterobacteriaceae. The record is from RNAcentral.